CCGCCAUAUCACGUAGAAACAUUGGUUCUCGGACGAUCACCGAAGUUAAGCAACGUCGAGCUUGGUCUAUCUAGAUGGAUGACUACUUGGGAAUACCAGGUGCUGUAAG
Non-coding RNA from Acanthosepion pharaonis, 109 nucleotides. The record is from the annotation of a GenBank genome assembly. NCBI's taxonomy places the organism in Eukaryota, Metazoa, Mollusca, Cephalopoda, Sepiida, Sepiidae.